This 641-nucleotide ribosomal RNA is filed under the name uncultured Acidobacteriota bacterium. Its description in RNAcentral is "SSU rRNA". It matches the Rfam family "Bacterial small subunit ribosomal RNA", at positions 242 to 889 of the family's 1533-position model. Lineage: Bacteria; Pseudomonadati; Acidobacteriota. The record is from RNAcentral.
CAGCUAGUUGGCGGGGUAAUGGCCCACCAAGGCUUAGAUCGGUAGCCGGUCUGAGAGGACGGACAGCCACACUGGGACUGAGACACGGCCCAGACUCCUACGGGAGGCAGCAGUGGGGAAUCUUGCACAAUGGACGAAAGUCUGAUGCAGCAACGCCGCGUGGGGGAUGAAGCUUCUCGGAGUGUAAACCCCUUUCGACCCGGACGAAUGCCCGCAAGGGUUUGACGGUACGGGUAUAAGAAGCCCCGGCUAACUACGUGCCAGCAGCCGCGGUAAUACGUAGGGGGCCAGCGUUGCUCGGAAUUACUGGGCGUAAAGGGUCCGUAGGCGGUGCGGCAAGUCGAUAGUGAAAUCUCUGGGCUUAACCCAGAGGCUGCUAACGAAACUGCCGUGCUAGAGUGUGAGAGAGGCGAGUGGAAUUACGGGUGUAGCGGUGAAAUGCGUAGAUAUCCGUAGGAACAUCCGAGGCGAAAGCGGCUCGCUGGAUCACAACUGACGCUGAGGGACGAAAGCUAGGGGAGCAAACAGGAUUAGAUACCCUGGUAGUCCUAGCCCUAAACCAUCAGGACUUGGGGUUUGCCCUGUACGGGGCAAGUCCCGUAGCUAACGCGUUAAGUCCUGCGCCUGGGGAGUACGGUCGC